CAAUAAAAACAAACAAGGGCAUACGGGGAAUGCCUAGGCUCUGCAAGGCGAAGAAGGACGUGAUAAGCUGCGAAAAGCCGCGGGGAGGUGCAAAUAACCGAUAAUCCGCGGAUAUCCGAAUGGGGCAACCCACCAUAUAAAUGGUACCUCGAAACGAGGAGCGAACCCUCUGAACUGAAACAUCUAAGUAAGAGGAGGAAGAGAAAACAACAGUGAUACCGCAAGUAGUGGCGAGCGAACGCGGCACAGCCCAAACCGGACACGUUUAGGCGUAUCCGGGGUAGUAGGACUGCGAGAUACAAGUAUAAAAAGAACCGGAACGGCAUGGAAAGGCCGUCCGUAGAAGGUGAAAGACCUGUACGGGCAAUUUUUAUACGCGUUAGCAGUAUCCUGAGUAGGUCGGGGCACGAGAAACCCAGACUGAAACCGGCGGGACCACCCGCCAAGGCUAAACACUCAGCAGAGACCGAUAGUGAACAAGUACCGUGAGGGAAAGGUGAAAAGAACCUUGAAUAAAGGAGUGAAAAAGACCCUGAAACCGUAUGCCUACAAGCGGUCGGAGCCCAUUUAUUGGGUGACGGCGUGCCUUUUGCAUAAUGAUCCUACGAGUUACUGUUACCGGCAAGGUUAAGCGCUUCAGGCGCGUAAGCCGCAGCGAAAGCGAGUCUUAAAAGGGCGAAUUAGUCGGUAGUAGUAGACGCGAAACCUUGUGAUCUACCCAUGGCCAGGUUGAAGUGGGGGUAACACCCCAUGGAGGACCGAAUCGGUAAGCGUUGAAAAGCUUUCGAAUGAGCUGUGGGUAGGGGUGAAAGGCCAAUCAAACUGGGAAAUAGCUCGUACUCCCCGAAAUGCAUUUAGGUGCAGCGUCGCGGUUAAGUGAUAUAUAGGUAGAGCUACUGAUUGAAUGCGGGGGCUUCACCGCCUACCAAUUUCAGACAAACUCCGAAUAGUAUAUCACAUACGCGGCAGUGAGGGCAUGGGUGCUAAGGUCCAUGCCCGAGAGGGAAACAACCCGGACCAACAGCUAAGGUCCCCAAAUAUACGCUAAGUUGAAAAAACGAAGUAGAACUGCACAGACAGCCAGGAAGUUGGCUUGGAAGCAGCCAUUCUUUUAAAGAGUGCGUAACAGCUCACUGGUCGAGCGGUUCUGCAUGGAGAAUAAGCGGGCAUAAGCGUAUUACCGAAGCUAUGGCAGAUAACAAUCUGGGUAGGGGAGCAUUCCGUACAGCGCAGAAUCGGUAUUGUAAAGUACCGUGGAGCGUACGGAAAAGCAAAUGUAGGAAUAAGUAACGAUAAAGCGGGCGAGAAACCCGCUCACCGAAAGACCAAGGGUUCCCCGGCUAUGUUAAUCAGCCGGGGGUCAGUCGGGCCCUAAGGACAAGCCGAAAACAGGCUACUCCGAUGGACAAACGUUUAAUAUUACGUUACUCGUAUCGAGUGCGACGGGGCGACCUGGUAAUACCUCUUCGCGUGCUGACGGAAUAGCACGUUAAAGACUUUACUGGGCCGGGAGGCAAAUCCCCCGGCGGAAAGGUAAAGUUGAUAGUACACCCAAGCUACGGCGACGGUGAUAGCAAGACUAAAGAUCAGCAAGAAAAACCUCUAAGCUUCAGCUCGAUACGACCCGUACCGGAAACCGACACAGGUGGUCGAGAAGAGAAUUCUAAGGUGCUCGAGAGAUUCAUGGCUAAGGAACUAGGCAAAAUAGACCUGUAACUUCGGGAAAAAGGUCACCGCAGCAAUGCGGUCUCAGAAAAUAGGUCCAGGCGACUGUUUAACAAAAACACAGGACUUUGCAAAAUCGAAAGAUGACGUAUAAGGUCUGACACCUGCCCGGUGCUGGAAGGUUAAGAGGAGAUGUCCGCAGCAAUGCAAAGCAUUGAAUUGAAGCCCCAGUAAACGGCGGCCGUAACUAUAACGGUCCU
This 1925-nucleotide ribosomal RNA is filed under the name Flavobacteriales bacterium. Its description in RNAcentral is "bacterial LSU rRNA". It matches the Rfam family "Bacterial large subunit ribosomal RNA", at positions 1 to 1952 of the family's 2925-position model. The record is from RNAcentral. Lineage: Bacteria; Pseudomonadati; Bacteroidota; Flavobacteriia; Flavobacteriales.